RNAcentral lists this long non-coding RNA (1092 nucleotides) under Equus caballus (horse). Its description in RNAcentral is "lncRNA (ENSECAG00000059539.1)". Lineage: Eukaryota; Metazoa; Chordata; Mammalia; Perissodactyla; Equidae. The record is from RNAcentral.
AGGUGCCAGGCUGGGAGCCCUGUCAGGACCUGGAGUAUAAUGUCAUGACCUGCCAGGGUGAAGGGAGCCUGCAGAAUUUCUGUCUCCUAGCACUUCUACUCAACUUCCAUUGGCCAAAGCAAAUUAAAGAAACAUCAGCUUCAUGGGAAUGAGAAAAUACAAUCCCACCAUAUGACUGGGAUGAAGAGAGCUAGAUUUUCAUUGAACAGCCCUAAUGACUCCGAGAAAUGAAAACAUGUGAUAUUUCCACUGUAUUCCCGUUCUAUGUUGCUGAUAGAAAUAAGGAAGUUGGCCACUCCCCAUGGUGGCAGAAAGGAUGCCGCAGCAUCAGGUUUCACAUUCUUACACUGAAAGCUACUGAAACCAGAACAGAGAGACUUUCACGCAUCAAUUUUACCCAUUUCCCUGGAAGCUCCACAACAGAUCUCACGUUUUAUUUUCAGAACUUUAUCAUAUGCUCUUUUCUAAGGCAGUUCUUGCCAAGGGGAACAAAAUAUUACCAGGAUUGAUCCAGACUUGUCAAAAUUCACUCUCUGGGACUGGAGAGGGACCUAGCAUCUCAUGGAAUAUGUGGCCACUUGGGGUCUGAAUCAUGGUACAAUUCAAUUAGCAGAAGGAAGAAGGAAGGAGGAAGUAAUUCUUGAGUAGGAAUUCACCAGCUUCCAGAGAGGACAUGAUUCUAUUUUUCCUUAUCAUAAUGUAUUCUUCAGGAGGAUCUAGAGUUCCUCCGAGGAAAGAUGCAGCUGUUCAUUGAGAUACUCAUUAUAAUAUUUUUAAAGUACCAUUUUAUUUCUAGUAUACUGAGAAUUUUUAUUGGGAACUAAUGUCGUACUGCAUCAAAUGACUUGUUUUGUUUUUAUUUCUUUCAUUUUUUUCAGAAGGAGAAGUCUUUGCCAUUGAUCUAGAAGAUAUCUUUUAUCUUAUUUACAUGCUUUAUUCUAUUAACAAAGUUUAUAAUCUUAAAUCUUCCUUAUAUUCUCAGAAUAUGUCUUACUUGGGCAUAGGAGUACUUGUAUUUGACUUGAAAGUUUUUUCCCAAAUUUUUGAAAUAGACAUUUGCAAAACAGGUUUUUGUGUAAUGGUCAUGACAAU